RNAcentral lists this ribosomal RNA (444 nucleotides) under uncultured Clostridium sp. RNAcentral's name for it is "bacterial SSU rRNA". It matches the Rfam family "Bacterial small subunit ribosomal RNA", at positions 337 to 798 of the family's 1533-position model. The record is from RNAcentral. Lineage: Bacteria; Bacillati; Bacillota; Clostridia; Eubacteriales; Clostridiaceae.
UCCUACGGGAGGCUGCAGUGGGGAAUAUUGCACAAUGGGGGAAACCCUGAUGCAGCAACGCCGCGUGAGUGAUGAAGGCCUUCGGGUUGUAAAGCUCUGUCUUUGGGGACGAUAAUGACGGUACCCAAGGAGGAAGCCACGGCUAACUACGUGCCAGCAGCCGCGGUAAUACGUAGGUGGCAAGCGUUGUCCGGAUUUACUGGGCGUAAAGGAUGCGUAGGCGGAUAUUUAAGUGAGAUGUGAAAUACCCGGGCUCAACUUGGGUGCUGCAUUUCAAACUGGAUAUCUAGAGUGCAGGAGAGGAAAGUGGAAUUCCUAGUGUAGCGGUGAAAUGCGUAGAGAUUAGGAAGAACAUCAGUGGCGAAGGCGACUUUCUGGACUGUAACUGACGCUGAGGCAUGAAAGCGUGGGGAGCAAACAGGAUUAGAUACCCUAGUAGUCCCU